Molecule: ribosomal RNA, 449 nt
Filed under: uncultured bacterium
Lineage: Bacteria
Description: partial 16S ribosomal RNA
Rfam family: Bacterial small subunit ribosomal RNA
Source: RNAcentral
AGCGAACGCUAGCGGCAGGCCUAACACAUGCAAGUCGAACGAACUCUUCGGAGUUAGUGGCGGACGGGUGAGUAACACGUGGAAACGUGCCUUUAGGUUCGGAAUAACUCAGGGAAACUUGUGCUAAUACCGAAUGUGCCCUUCGGGGGAAGGAUUUAUCGCCUUUAGAGCGGCCCGCGUCUGAUUAGCUAGUUGGUGAGGUAACGGCUCACCAAGGCGACGAUCAGUAGCUGGUCUGAGAGGAUGGCCAGCCACACUGGGACUGAGACACGGCCCAGACUCCUACGGGAGGCAGCAGUGGGGAAUCUUGCGCAAUGGGCGAAAGCCUGACGCAGCCAUGCCGCGUGAAUGAUGAAGGUCUUAGGAUUGUAAAAUUCUUUCACCGGGGACGAUAAUGACGGUACCCGGAGAAGAAGCCCCGGCUAACUUCGUGCCAGCAGCCGCGGUAA